Ictalurus punctatus (channel catfish) is the source of this 9937-nucleotide long non-coding RNA. The record is from Ensembl. NCBI's taxonomy places the organism in Eukaryota, Metazoa, Chordata, Actinopteri, Siluriformes, Ictaluridae.
UAUAUAUAUAAUGAUUAUUUAAUGAUUUGUUGUUUGUUUUUUCAUUACUUCACUGCACAUGUUUGUGUAACUUCGUGGCGCAAUUAUGGUGGAUCAUCCUCAUGAUGUUAUUGAUUUCAUAAAUAUGUGCAUGUGCCACAAUUUCGGGGCAGAGCUUUGUUCACACAGUAAGGACAGAUAUAGGUCACAUACGAACCAUCAAGGGCAAAAAAUCGGAUUUGAGCCAUGAGGCUUGUAGUAUGAACAUUGCUACAGAAAAUCCCUACAUUGUGUGAAUGUAGGCAAUAAAACUGCCAUUACAUGCACCACCUUCUCAAUGAGGAGAAUAGAUCCCUCUGCUCUCCUUACAGGACUGAACCAAAUCCCCUAAAAUGUGGAGGAUAAAGUUUCAAAGCAGCAGCACUGCACCAUAAAGACUGCACAUGCAUCAGGUUUUUUUCCACAACAGUACAGGUUAAAUACACAUAGCAACGGACUUGGAUCCCUUUGAUUGCUUUGUUGUUUUUUUUAAAAAAGAGAAUUAAAAGGAAAAGGAGACAAGAAGAAACCACCAAAGACUAGAAGGUGUGAAGGUGAGAAUAGGAAAGCUUUUCUGCCAGUGAUAUCCAGAGCUGUGGGAAGGACGAUACAUUGGCAGUCUCAGGUAACGACAGAUGCCUCAGCCAUGUGACCUUACCCACCUUACUCACUGCCACCUGCCACUUAGGAAACGGCUAUGUUCAAAACUAGGCUUUUCAUAGCAUGCUUGAGAGCAAUGGCGCUAUCCUCAGCCUGCCUCACUCACUCCUCCUAGAAAGAGGCAGACAGUGAGAGGAUGGAUGAAGUGCUGAAGGGUGUCCCCAGGGUCUUUGCACUGGCAGGCUAAAUACAGCCUGGAAGACUGCAGGUCUUCAGAGAGGAGUAAGCUGGAAACUGGGCUGGGUUGCUGGGGCGGUAAUGGGAGACUGAAGCUUGACUAAAGAACAAAAGCAGCUAUCUGGAUGAGGCAGGAAAGAAAGAGCUAACCCCAAGGGAGCAAGAUAAAGACAUGGGCUUUAUCAUAAGCUGAACAGUUCAGCCAAAGAGACAGCCAGUCAUCUAUCCCCUCUGGCUCUUGGACUGGAACGCAGCCCUCCACUCCCAUGCGUGCUGCUCUCUUCCUGCCCACCCGCUAAGCGCUAACGGAAGAAGGAGCAUCCCGUAUUCUUUCAGUGUUCUGCAAAUGGCGCAGGGUGGUGGAUUUCCUCUGACUGGAUGGCACUCAAAUUUGAGGACAUUGGAUUUCACAAGAAAGGAAGUUGAGCAAAGGAGUUCGUGAACAAUAAGAAUGCUUAUGGUAUCAGUUCAAAUUUCAAGCAUUUCCUGUCAGAUCUGGAGUGCUAAAUCCUUGGAGAAGAAAAGACAGAUAAAUGUACUGCUUUUCCAGUACUAAGACCUUUCAGACUUUACUCAGACACAUCUUUAUUUUUUCUUUGAACGGCUGCAUUCAAGACAGUUGUAUAGAUCAGAAUCAAAUGAUGAGGCAAGGCAGCACACAGCUGUAAGUCUCUAUGGACUUUUUACGUUCUUUGCGUAUCCAGACCUCUACACAGACUUCUUUACUGUUGCAGAGACACUGAUUCAGUCAGUGUUGCUGCUAAACACAUUACCUCAAUAUACCAUUGUAGCAGCUGCUUUCAAACUUGAUCCUCGUUAAACAGGGGCAUUAGACUCAUGAAAUAUUGUUGCUACCAAAUUCAUGCAAUAACAAAUACAUAUCAUUUAAACAAACAGCAGUUUACCGUCCGUUGCUUGCUGAAGCUUGGGAAGAUGAAGGACUCAUGUGAGAAAGUGGUCUCAUGUUUCUAAAAGCCAUUUCUCACAGCUAUGCCUCAUCAGCUCAGGCCAGAAGCUCAUAAAACUUGCCAUGAAUAGAGGCACCACUGUCUAAACUAUUUUGGCACUUGUUUCACACACACAUGCACAUACUUACACACUGAAGCGCACGCUCAUUCACCCAUCUCACACAUGUCAAGUCACUUUCACAUGCUCUUUGUUAUUCUUGUCUCACUUGUCUUGCACAUGCUUAUUCCCAUUGACUCGUAUCACCUCAAGGAGGGAGAUGGAACUAGGGCACUAUGGCACUACCCAGCUGGGGAUGUGGCAUCCCUGGACUGCAGGAGCAGGUGAAGGCCUGUGAAUACCAGGCCUUGUCCCUCUCUUCACCCUCCCUCCUCCUGUCUUUCUCCUCCCUUCCCUUCCCUUCCUUCCCUUCCCCCAGGGCCUCGCAGCCAGAGGCUUUCAAAACAGCACACAUAAUCAAAGCUUUCUCUCUUCUCUCUCUCUCUCUCUCUCUCUCUCUCUCUCUCUCUCUCUCUCUCUCUCUCUCUCUCUCUCUUGCUCUCUCGCUCUCUCGCUCUCCCUAAAGAAAAUGCCCAUAACAAAAUGAAACAGCAUCACACGUGCAUCUGCAGCAAGGCCACACUUUAUGCUUUAUCACUAUUAGGUCAUUUUUAACGGUGUUCGAAUCAAAGUGUCAACCAGUUCCACUCUGUUUUAGCUAACACUGGAACACUAAUUUAGUAAGUACUAAUUAGCUAAAUGCCCUCCAGGCUCACCUGUCAUUAGCCAACCCAAAAGAAGAGAUAAUAACACCUUUCCAUUCACAUUGCUGACAUAUGCACACCAUAAGCUUUUACUCAUGCCACCAUAGAGCUGUGUGUUGCAGUGUAUUGGAAGUGCUGUAGGUCAUCUCUGUUUUCUUUACUGUUGGUUAGAGAACACGAUGACUUCUCGUCUCUCUCUAAACUCUCCUCUGUCCAAAAUGGAAAAAUAAUCAGUAGCAUAUUUAAAUAGCACCCAAGAAUAUGACUGGUCUUGAAAUUGUUCUCUGGUGAGAUGUAAUGUAAUGAGUAAAAUGUUUCCAGUCUCUGCAAUCCACUUUAGUCAGCUGUUACAGGUCAGAGUGAGACAUGCAUUUUCUUUUGCUCCAUAUAUUCACUGUACUGAAACGACUUGAAUCAGAAAUGAGACCAUUGAAAAUAGAUUGUGGCAUGUCUAGGGUAAAACUGUACUUGCUCUGUCCUUAGCUUACAAUUCAACUUCAUGUGAUUAUAGAUCAUAGAUGUAUUCAUCAGGCUUUGUUUAUUUGUAAUAUAUAUUUCUGUGUUGUGUUUUUUUAAAUUUUAUUAUUAUUAUUAUUAUUAUUAUUAUUAUUAUUAUUAUUAUUAUUAUUAUUAUUAUUUCCAUUUUCUGAAUGAUGAAAGCAUAUUUAGUCCACAUUUUUCCUGAUUAUUGUUAAUUUUUUUUAUGUUUUAAUCUUAGUUCCUUCUUUAUGCAGAGACACUGAAUCUUUGUUAUAAGCAGGAUAUAGUGUUUUUUUUUUUCCUUUAAAGGUUAUGGAGAGAAGCAGGAGUAGGGGGUUAACUUUUCUAAGGCUAAUCUUUUCUUCUUUAAUGCCUUGCACAUGAUUGGUAUAAUUAGCUUCAAUUUCAAAUGACACAUAAACAUAGAGACCAUAGCAUUGUGAAUAGUUAGUGUAGUCCCAUGCUAUUAUUAUUGUUACAUUUUUAUUAUUCUCUCCUUGGUUAUAGAUUGUGUUACUCAUAAUGUUUUUUCCAAACUUGUACUUUACAAAGCAACUCAGAAGGUUAUGAAGUAUGAAGUAUUUUGUUAUUAGAGUGGUAUAACUGAAAUAAUGGGCCAACUAUCAUGUCAACAUUACCUGAUUCGUUAAUAUUCAUUAACUGUAAAGUUGAAAAAGAAACUUUUCAUGAAGUCCUUUCAUGUUAAUCAUGAAUCACAUUUAACUAUACAAAUGUCCCCAAAUAAGCAUAAUUUAUUUUCUAUUUGUUGCCAGAACUAUACUAAUCAAAAGUAGUAGAUUUUGAUUUUGGGAAAUGUAACUAAUAUUUUUUAAAUAGCACAUUAGCUUUGAUAAUAAGUGCCAAAGGCAUUAAAGUAGCAAUUCCAGGAGAAACCCUUAGAAAAUUAAUGCGUAUUCCAUAAUAGAUGACAUUAACUAAAUAACCUUGUACAGUUUUCUAUGAGUGAUGUGUUUUUAAGUACGUGUACAGGACUGAAUGAUGUUCAUUAGAUACCCAAGUAUUUUUUAUGUUUAGCUCUUUUUUUUUUCUUUUGGUGUGACAUUAAUGUAGCUUUAUGUUGGUUUUUGUCUGAUUAUAUUGCUUUCUUAAUUUGUCUUAUGCUGUACAAUUUAGAACAUACAAGGCUAAUUAUCCUAAACUCUUGGACGCUAUUAUUGUUAUAUUAAUCAGAAGUGAAAACCCAACCAUUCCAAAGGAUUGCAAUUUCAUUUGCUGUAAAUGUGCUGCUUGUAUCAAACCAAUGCAUAGAAGUUACAUUACUUUUAUGUAUUUAUUUUAUGUUCUGUUUUGGACUGUGAUGUAUUUUAUUGAGAUACAUUUGUGACAAGUUAAUUUGGGUACUUUUCUUAACAUUGCUCCUACUUUUCUUUCCUGCUGUUUUGACAAUGCGCUUAUACUAUAUUUGAUGGUGCCUACUGGACAAAAUAGACACAACCAUUCAUGUUGGGACAGAAUAAGCAGUAAACCCUGAGACUCUCGUAAAAGGGAUUUUGCAAGCCUGCUUGCUUGUGUACGUGCAGGUGUGCAUAUUAUUUUGUAGCCAAGUGAAAGACAGACAUGCAAAACAGGAGUUAGGCCCAUGGAACUGUUGCAUGGAACAUGGGCCAAACUGGUACAAAGCACCUGCCACUUGAGCCAUAAAGCAAAUGAACCCACACUGUACAAUUAAUUGAAGUUCAUCACUGGGUUCCUGUAACUAGAGCCUCACUGGGUUGUCACCAAAGACCACUAGAGUGGAUGAAUGUGGGGAUGUUUGCAUUUGCGUUAGCUGGAAUUCAGGCUGCCAUUUCACAAAGCACAUUAGAGUACUUUCAACUGAAAGGAAAAAAUGUUUAUCCUUCAAAUCAUAUGACUCAUUGGGUUAUUCCCAAAUGUGUCUGCCAGAAAGUUCAGGAAACAAAAGAGACCCUUUCAGUUAUGAACAAAGCCACGGUAAACCUAAUGGCUUGCUCAAUGUGUCAAUUGUCCCAGCAACACAUACCUGUGAAGACUUAUGUAGACUGUUGUUUGCCCGUUAUUUCCUAUGGGUUCUUCUGGUCAGUCUAACCCUAAAAUGAAGGGUGUCCACAGGUAGAAUAGCACUGUGCUUGUGCAAGUUAGUUUUUCUCCAAAUAACCUGUGAUUGGCAGCAUAAAUACUAUUCAGUAAUUGUGUGGCCUGGGAGGAAAACCCCCUGACAUCAAGUGUAAGCACAUUGUAGGAAUUACUGGAAACAUCCUCUAAAUAAAAUUGUAAAUGUUUAUCAGGGGAAAAACGUGGUUUUGUUAUUGCUGGCAUCAUGUUGAUACCAUUAAUCCCUCAAAAAUAUUUCAAAUAUGGCGGAUUUAAUUCUGUACUUUCACUGUACAUGAAGGCUUGUAAAAUAUGGUCUUAUUCUUGGUCACUGAUGCUUUUAAAGCAUGUGGUCAUUUGUGUCAGUUUGGUCGUCUCUUAAUCGGUGUGGUCAGACUCAAACACACAACUUACAUUUUGGAAGCAUUCAGCAUCCAGUGGUGUCAGCAGGGACUGUCGUAGCAGCUGUUAAUGAGCACGCAUGACUGGAUUACUAUAGUAGGCUCAACCUCAGAUCCGCCCAUCCCUUUGUUCCCUUUUUUAUGAUGUGUAAACUUCUUUUUACUGAAAACAGCUAUGAGGCCCACCACCUAUGAUAUUUGAUACAGAAUAGAAAAGGGCUGACUGUCUUCUAAUAGGUUUCUCUCUUUUUUUUCAAGACUUCUCAUCUUCUAUCUAUAUGGGAGGAUUCACUUGUAGCUGGAUACCCAAAAUCUAUAGAUAUUAGUGAUGUUAAUUGGUGACAUUCAAUGGCCACAACCAAUUAUUAAAUGUCUUUGUGCUUUUGCACACCAAUGAUGCACAUUGUUUUGUACUGACCAUAAAUCUCCAAUCAUAAAAUGAACAAAUACAGAUGUCGUAUAAAGAAUUUUCGGGAGGUCAUAGACGCUUCGAUCUGUCCUCUAGGCUUUAUGUGUAUACUUGGCUUGCCUUCCUGAUAUAUGUAUUAGUCUUUAUUUUCUGUCACCAUGCAAUGCCUGUUUCUGUGACUACAGCGCAGCUAUAAAGCGCUUUGUACAAAAUAACUCAUAUUUCAACUAUGGCCAGUUCCUCUCUUCAUGACCUCAUUCAAAACCUGCCAUUCAUCACCAUUUUUUAUCUUCUUUUUUUUCCUCAAUCAACCAAAUCACUACAGUGAAGUAUUACAGUUGUACAGUUCCAUGAAUUAUACCAACUCUUAAUGUUGCUGGUCAUGGUUGCUCUGCUGUAUCUUUUUAUGACAUUAUUUUUUACAUUCUAGACAAUAUAUUGUGACUCUGUCCUAUGCAAAUAUGAGAAUUAACAAGAAUUUGUCAAAUAAUGUAUGUGUCAACUUGUAUGCAUGAAAUAGUGAAGUUUACAUUUGAAAAUAAAUGCAUAAAUAAUCAGCUUUAUUGUGGUGAAGGGUGUGAGUUAUUUAUUAUCUUGAAUUCUUGUUUUUCUCUCAACAGAUGGUGUCUAGUAUGAUGAAAUGAUUAUUUCUCACUGGCAUUUAUGUAACACACGAUUAAAGCAAAUUAAAGUAAACAAUAGUGUUGGCAAUGUAAAAACCUUCUGAAUGUUCAUAGCAUCAGUAUAUUAACCACCUAAACUACAGGUAUCUUUCGGUGGGUUCACAUUUACAUUCCUUACUCUUGUAACUACAUACGUUUUGUUAUCAGUUUCAGUGCAGUUACUCAAUUAUUCACAGUAGUUAGUGCAAAUUAUGCUAAAAUAAAUAUUAUGCUAGAGUGUAUAGAUGUAUAAAAUAAUAAUAAGGAGUUUAAGGGGUUAGCUAAAUAGCUAAACUCUUAGGUGUUCCUACAACAGCCAAUAGAUGCACUUGUUGUUCAUCAGGGCAUGAAUGAAAGCGGAAAAUAAAUAAACACCACUGGUGAUGUCAGUUGUGGGAAAGACUGUGCCCUGCUGACUGGGGCUGCGUGUAUACAGGAAGUGCACCUUGUUCCUGUGUCUGCACCCAUGCAAAUAUUUACUGUAAGUGAUGUGAAGUGUGUUUUCUUAAUAAAGCAUUUGCUGUACUGCAUAUAGCAAGGCAAUCUCUACAUAGCCCAGUGACCUGGCAAUGCAAUACUUUUUCUGUCAUUCACAUAUGUGGGGUUUGGCAUCAUGUGUACGUGUUCACAUAUGGGAAAUUUCCCCUCUGUGAAGUCUAAUAAUGCCUAUUAAGUAUAAAUCUUGGCAUAGAUUAAAGCAAGCAUCUCAGUAAUAGCAUAUAUCUUGGUUAUAUAAGAAAAAUAGUAUUGAGUACACACCAACUGUUUCAUCCUUGUUCUGCUAGUCUCUAUCACUUUGGAGAUGAACAGGAAGGAAGAACGUGCUAAAAAUAUUCAGAGAGAAGGUUGGUGUGUUCCCUGCUCAGUCUGCCCACCUCCUGUCUCUCUGUCUGUCCAUGCCACGGUCAUGCCAAAGAGUUUGGUGUGUGUGGUGGUGAAAAGGAGGUUGGGGGGAUGGUGUCUGUGGGAUCAUGUGCAUAUGUGUGUGUCUCUGUGUUUUACAGUUAAUAUAUUCCCCACUCUUAAGUCUAAUUACAAAGCAGGAGCUGUCUUGUGAAUUUCUUUUACUGACUUUCCUCCUCUGAUACUGUUAUUAUGAUGAGUACACUGCAAGAUUCUGCUUCCUCGUCCCCUUCUCUUGGAGAAACUAUAUUCUGCCAGCCUGGAACCAACAAUUUACUGCAAAUUUGAGAAUAAUUAUGGUAAGAUGAGGUCACGUUGCCAUAUAGACAAGGUGUUCAAAGGAAGACAUAAUGGCUUGAGGUCAACAGCUAUUUCUAUUUAUAAUCGAAUUAGGAUGCCAGUUUUUGAAAGCAAAGUGAAUUGUAGCUCCAGUCAUGGUGUGUUAUGGAGUGCCUCAUUUGAAACUCAUUGUUUAACAUUUUAUUAAAGCUCAUUUUCAGCAUAGAUUUAGACAGAAUGCUGCAGAACUCAUGAUUAUCUACAAUGAUUGCCAUUGUUAUUGUUUUUUGUUUGUUUGUUUUUGUUGUUGUUGUUGUUGUUUUUUGCAUUUAUUAAACAAUCUUGCUUGUUAGUUUACCUUGGGAGUAUCUUACUGAACUCCUAAAGCAGUACAGUCCACCCCAAGCAUUUUGGUCAGCUGAAGCAGAUGUGCUGUUUAGUCUUAAAGAUCUUUUUCAGCUCACCCGGUGAAACAUGUUUUUCUUUUUUUUUUGCCCCUAAACUCUGGAGUAGUGUUCCAAGGUUUUGGGGCAAAGCAUUAGGAAUGCAAUUUAUAUUUUAUAGUUGAUUUAAAUCCUGAUUAAAACAUACUUUUAGGCUGCACACAUCCAUAAACUCUGCUACUGGGUUAAAUCUCCUGGGUCUUCUUGGUGUAAAUUGGAACUAUCAUCUUGUAGGGAAUCCUCUUUACCUGCUUUACUUUAUUCCUCUCUACCUACAAAACUCUCUAUAUACCGAUAAUUAAGUUGUCCUUAACACACUUAAGAUUUGGUAUCAAUUUAGACGGGGCGUUAAAAUUUGUAGGUGCAUCCUCUUUGGGUCCUUUAAGCAACAGCCACUUAUUUCCUCCAUCGUGUUUGGACUAUACAUUUUCAGUGUGGUAUGACAAGGGCAUUAAACAAUUAAAAAAUCUGUAUGCCGAUGGUGUGUUUGAUAGCUUUGCCAAUCUGUCAUCUACUUAUGACCUCCCUGUGACGCAUCUAUUUCGUUUCUAGAUGUUUUCCUAAUUUCCCCUCUGCACCUCCUGAACAGGCUUGGGAAAACUUGUUUUCAAACAAUCCACAUCAGAGAGGAAUGAUUUCUAGGAUAUAUGAUUUUAUUCUGGCGUUAGGUACUGAGUCGAGUACCAAAAUUAGGAAUGCAUGGGAAACGAGCAUUAGGAGUUAGGAGUACAGAUAAGUGAAGAGUGUUGGGAACGUGCUAUAGGUAGGAUACAGUCUACCACUUCUUGUGCUCGUCUUGGACUCAUCCAGUUCAAGCACUGGACUGUCUGGGUCCACGAAACAAUUUGGACUCGCAGGCAGCAAUCACCUGCGUUCUACUGUCUUCAGUCCCACUGGUAGUCACUGUGCCAAGUCUCUCCAAAUUUGCAUAAAGAUAAACUUUUCUCAACUUUGUAGCAUCACUGGACACGCCCACAUCUAGUCGCCAAUGGUCACUGUCCCUCAUGUUGCUGGAAGUCGCCAGCUCUCAUUGAAAAUGAAUGGUCUCCAGAAGCUUUGUCGCUGCAAGUCCCUGUACAGUAUGUAUGAACAUACUCUGUUAAGUCUAAGUCUGCACUUAGGCUUAUUGUUUACUUUAAAGCUAGCUUUUAGCAGCCUCUGAAUAUUUUUAAACUAUGCCAAUUUGCCACAAAAAACAAAAAAAACCACCCAACAAAAAACACAACUCUGACAACCCUGUCAUUUAUGGAGCUGAAGCAUGCUGUCCCAUGAUUCAUCAACAUUGUUGGUCACUCAAAAGAGGUCAUUAGUAUUUCAGUUGAGUUUAAAAUGUAUAGGGUUGUGAAUCAGGUCUUUAUGAAGAUGAACAUUUGAAUGGCUGAAUAUUGAACGGCUGAUAUAUGUGGAUGAACCACCACUGGCUUUCAAACUAUGAUGCAUACACAACUCAAAAUUCACAUAAUGAUUAAUUGAUCCAAUAGUUACCUCACCUUGCAUUAUCCUGCUCUAUCUCACUCUCCCACUGUGUCUGUUCACUUGGUGGCAAUCUUGGCAACUCUAAUGAACACAUCCAUGCAUCCAUUAUUUACAGUGAACAAUAUCUUCUCUGUAUUAGCUUCAUCAUAUUGACGUGUAAGGUUUGUUAUGAAGUUUGGCUCCUGCUUUGGCAGAACCAAAAGCAUAAUGGGCAUAUUAUGAUGAGUUACAUAUGACUGGCUUUUUC